GGCGAGCGAACGGGGGUGAGCCCAAACCGUAGAUGUGCCAAGGAUGCAGCCGUUGCAUCUACGGGGUAGCGGGAAGAUCGUCUGAAGAACUGCAAGGUAUUCGACAUUAUGAUACGCCGAACUGGAAGGGUCUGGAAAGGCCUGCCGUAGAGAGUGAAAGCCUCGUACAGGUAAACCGUAUCAAAUGUAUGAUCUCUCCCAAGUAGCACGGAACACGAGGAAUUCUGUGUGAAUCUGCGAGGACCAUAUCUCGUA
Molecule: ribosomal RNA, 255 nt
Filed under: Cetobacterium somerae
Lineage: Bacteria; Fusobacteriati; Fusobacteriota; Fusobacteriia; Fusobacteriales; Fusobacteriaceae
Description: partial 23S ribosomal RNA
Rfam family: Bacterial large subunit ribosomal RNA
Source: RNAcentral